UAACCUACCCUCGAGUGUGGAAUAACAUCGGGAAAUCCAUGCUAAUACCGCAUAACAUCCCAAGAUCAAAGGAGCAAUCCGCUUGAGGAGGGGGUCGCGGCUGAUUAGCUAGUUGGCGGGGUAACGGCCCACCAAGGCGAAAAUCGGUAGCCGGCCUGAGAGGGCGCACGGCCACACUGGAACUGAAACACGGUCCAAACUCCUACGGGAGGCAGCAGUGGGGAAUUUUGCGCAAUGGGGGAAACCCUGACGCAGCAACGCCGCGUGGAGGAUGAAGCCCCUUGGGGCGUAAACUCCUUUCGACCAAGACGAUAAUGACGGUACUGGUGGAAGAAGCACCGGCUAACUCUGUGCCAGCAGCCGCGGUAAUACAGAGGGUGCAAGCGUUGUUCGGAAUUAUUGGGCGUAAAGGGCGCGUAGGCGGCGCGGUAAGUCACCUGUGAAAUCCCCGGGCUUAACUCGGGGCCCGCAGGCGA
RNAcentral lists this ribosomal RNA (476 nucleotides) under uncultured bacterium. Its description in RNAcentral is "bacterial SSU rRNA". It matches the Rfam family "Bacterial small subunit ribosomal RNA", at positions 122 to 630 of the family's 1533-position model. The record is from RNAcentral.